RNAcentral lists this long non-coding RNA (1267 nucleotides) under Mytilus galloprovincialis (Mediterranean mussel). Lineage: Eukaryota; Metazoa; Mollusca; Bivalvia; Mytilida; Mytilidae. The record is from RNAcentral.
CCGGCCGAUCGGUGAUAAAAUUGCUCAAAUAAUGAGGAAAGCACCAAUUUUUGCAUGAUGGUACAUUUCCGUGUACUGAGCAAUAUAAGCUAUGGACCCACCGUCAAAAUUCAAUAUGGCGGCUUAUUUCAAGAUGGCUGCCGUACGUUCUAAGAUAUUUUCCAGUAUUGUACAAACCACAGUGGAUUUGAUGCUGAAAGCCCAAAAAUCAACAUGUUUUAAUGACUUAGUGUACUUAGCAAGAUUUUGUUUUGAUCUAUCUUUGAAUACAAAAUGGCGGCAAUUUUCAAAAUGGCCGCCUUGAAAAAUAUGCAAUAUUCAUUAUUGAGAAUUGACCUGAAUAUAAGCAUUUUAUUGAUGUAUAGUGUCAUUAAGCAUCUGUCCCAGAUCUGUCCUUUUUGAUUUUGCUUGGCUUGUCAUUUCAUACACAAAGUAGUAGCUUUCAUAAAAAGCUGCAGUAGUAGCUUUCAUUAAAAGGUGCACUAUUUGUUGUCUUGGGCCACACAUCAAAGCUGUGAUUUGGGAUUUAUCUGCCUUGAGAUAUUAUUCACUGCCUAUCUUAUUUCUUUGGUCGCAAUAUUUUGCAAUUUGAGAUAUUAUACUGUGAAUUGAGAAUCAUUUAAACACAUAUCAGUGAAAUGGAAGGAAUGGAGCACAACAAGGACAAGAACUUUGAAAUGGUAGAAACUGAAUCACUUGGGGAAAUAGAGAAACCCACAGCUGAAGACGCGUUAACAGAGGACAGCUCAGAAAUGACUAUUAAACAAUUGUACCAAGAAUUUUUAGCAGAUAGAAAAUCUAAUGCUCAAAGAACAGCUGAGAUUUACCGCAAUAAAAAACAGAGCGAAGCGCGAAUUAAUAAAAUAUGUGUUGGUCUCAUUAUGAUUCAAGCUGAACCGAAAGAAGCAAUGAAUAUUAAUAACGAACAGAUGGGAGCAAUAUCUCAGCAACUUCAGCAGUCUGAAGACAGGAUAGACCACAAGGCUAGUGGUCAUUGCUUGGCGGAAUUGAUGGUCAGACCAAUAAGAUAUUCAAUGUUGUGGUGAGACGAAUUGACAAGCUGAUAACAACUGAGGAAAGAGACACAGUUCAAUUUAAAAGUGUAUUUGAACACCAGGGUACCUUCCAACAACUGGCAUCUGUUCUAAAUGAAUUAGUGGACAAUCGAAAUAAAGAAGUUAAAAUUCCUGCAAUGGACACAUCAUCUAAACCUUAGCCAGUACAACGCUUGCCAAAAGUACACAACAAAAUCCAUGACUUGGGUCUU